GCCAAAGUGAAUCUGCAGAAUUGGCAGCCAGUUCCUUGAAAAAAAGAUAAAACCAACCAUUGGGGCCUGCUUAUUUAAUGAGGAUUUAUGUCAUAUCAGGGAUACCCGGAUAAAUAUUUGUUGUGAACUCCAUUACCAUUCAGCUUCAGCUUCAUGAAGAGUGCUGUGUUCCUGAAUUGAGAAGCCCUUCUCUCAGUCACCCACACCCUGGUCAUCUCUCCAAUGGAUUACUGCAAUGUGCUCUACACGGCUAUCCUUGAAGA
Molecule: long non-coding RNA, 263 nt
Organism: Ahaetulla prasina
Lineage: Eukaryota; Metazoa; Chordata; Lepidosauria; Squamata; Colubridae
Exons: 4
Source: RefSeq, a predicted model, not a curated record